GAUGAACGCUGGCGGCGUGCCUAAUACAUGCAAGUCGAGCGAACGGACGAGAAGCUUGCUUUUCUGAUGUUAGCGGCGGACGGGUGAGUAACACGUGGAUAACCUACCUAUAAGACUGGGAUAACUUCGGGAAACCGGAGCUAAUACCGGAUAAUAUUUUGAACCGCAUGGUUCAUAAGUGAAAGACGGUCUUGCUGUCACUUAUAGAUGGAUCCGCGCUGCAUUAGCUAGUUGGUAAGGUAACGGCUUACCAAGGCAACGAUGCAUAGCCGACCUGAGAGGGUGAUCGGCCACACUGGAACUGAGACACGGUCCAGACUCCUACGGGAGGCAGCAGUAGGGAAUCUUCCGCAAUGGGCGAAAGCCUGACGGAGCAACGCCGCGUGAGUGAUGAAGGUCUUCGGAUCGUAAAACUCUGUUAUUAGGGAAGAACAUAUGUGUAAGUAACUGUGCACAUCUUGACGGUACCUAAUCAGAAAGCCACGGCUAACUACGUG
This 497-nucleotide ribosomal RNA is filed under the name uncultured bacterium. RNAcentral's name for it is "partial 16S ribosomal RNA". It matches the Rfam family "Bacterial small subunit ribosomal RNA", at positions 28 to 507 of the family's 1533-position model. The record is from RNAcentral.